Molecule: ribosomal RNA, 301 nt
Filed under: uncultured bacterium
Lineage: Bacteria
Description: partial 16S ribosomal RNA
Rfam family: Bacterial small subunit ribosomal RNA
Source: RNAcentral
CAGCAGCCACGGGAAUACGUAGGUGGCAAGCGUUGUCCGGAAUUAUUGGGCGUAAAGCGCGCGCAGGCGGAUAGGUCAGUCUGUCUUAAAAGUUCGGGGCUUAACCCCGUGAUGGGAUGGAAACUGCCAAUCUAGAGUAUCGGAGAGGAAAGUGGAAUUCCUAGUGUAGCGGUGAAAUGCGUAGAUAUUAGGAAGAACACCAGUGGCGAGGGCGACUUUCUGGACGAAAACUGACGCUGAGGCGCGAAAGCCAGGGGAGCGAACGGGAUUAGAUACCCCAGUAGUCCCUGUCUCUUAUACC